AUUGAACGCUGGCGGCAUGCCUUACACAUGCAAGUCGAACGGCAGCACGGGAGCAAUCCUGGUGGCGAGUGGCGAACGGGUGAGUAAUAUAUCGGAACGUGCCCAGUCGUGGGGAUAACGUAGCGAAAGCUACGUUAAUACCGCAUACGAUCUAAGGAUGAAAGCGGGGGAUUCGCAAGAACCUCGCGCGAUUGGAGCGGCUGAUAUCAGAUUAGGUUGUUGGUGAGGUAAAAGCUCACCAAGCCGACGAUCUGUAGCUGGUUUGAGAGAACGACCAGCUACACUGGGACUGAGACACGGCCCAGACUCCUACGGGAGGCAGCAGUGGGGAAUUUUGGACAAUGGGCGCAAGCCUGAUCCAGCAAUGCCGCGUGCAGGAUGAAGGCCUUCGGUUGGUUAAACGUUAG
RNAcentral lists this ribosomal RNA (407 nucleotides) under uncultured bacterium. Its description in RNAcentral is "bacterial SSU rRNA". It matches the Rfam family "Bacterial small subunit ribosomal RNA", at positions 30 to 436 of the family's 1533-position model. The record is from RNAcentral.